This 74-nucleotide transfer RNA is filed under the name Candidatus Woesearchaeota archaeon. RNAcentral describes it as "tRNA-Trp". It matches the Rfam family "tRNA". From Rfam's summary of the family: Transfer RNA (tRNA) molecules are approximately 80 nucleotides in length. Lineage: Archaea; Nanobdellati; Candidatus Woesearchaeota. The record is from RNAcentral.
GGGACCAUCGUAUAACCAGGCUAUUAUUGCCGGCUCCAGACCGGUAGAUUGGGGUUCAAAUCCCCAUGGUCCCA